This 92-nucleotide transfer RNA is filed under the name Nitrososphaerales archaeon. RNAcentral's name for it is "tRNA-Gly". It matches the Rfam family "tRNA". Rfam says of the family: Transfer RNA (tRNA) molecules are approximately 80 nucleotides in length. Their secondary structure includes four short double-helical elements and three loops (D, anti-codon, and T loops). Lineage: Archaea; Thermoproteati; Nitrososphaerota; Nitrososphaeria; Nitrososphaerales. The record is from RNAcentral.
GCGGUCGUCGUCUAGAGCAUCAAAGCGGAAAGCCUGGACUAGGAUACGAGCCUUCCACGCUCGCGACCCGGGUUCAAAUCCCGGCGACCGCA